Molecule: ribosomal RNA, 253 nt
Filed under: uncultured bacterium
Lineage: Bacteria
Description: partial 16S ribosomal RNA
Rfam family: Bacterial small subunit ribosomal RNA
Source: RNAcentral
UACGUAGGGUGCGAGCGUUGUCCGGAAUUAUUGGGCGUAAAGAGCUCGUAGGCGGUGUGUCGCGUCGGCCGUGAAAACCUGCAGCUUAACUGUGGGCUUGCGGUCGAUACGGGCAUCACUGGAGUUCGGCAGGGGAGACUGGAAUUCCUGGUGUAGCGGUGAAAUGCGCAGAUAUCAGGAGGAACACCAAUGGCGAAGGCAGCUUGCUGGGACGGUACUGACGCUGAGACGCGAAAGCGUGGGGAGCAAACAG